GCCCGGGUAGCUCAAUUGGUAGAACCUCAAACUGUUAUUCUUAGGGUCCUGUGUUCACAUCCCUGUUUGGUCG
Molecule: transfer RNA, 73 nt
Filed under: Anguilla anguilla (European eel)
Lineage: Eukaryota; Metazoa; Chordata; Actinopteri; Anguilliformes; Anguillidae
Description: tRNA-OTHER
Source: RNAcentral